Molecule: long non-coding RNA, 1893 nt
Filed under: Homo sapiens (human)
Lineage: Eukaryota; Metazoa; Chordata; Mammalia; Primates; Hominidae
Description: HSALNT0279160
Source: RNAcentral
CUGGAUUCUGCAGAAAUGCCCCGUGUGUCAUAAGACAUGUGAGAGCCACCGCCUCCCCUGGACUCAGUGACGAGGGCUGUGCAUCAGGCACCUUGCAGGCAAUACUCAGACCUGACUGCCCGCAGCCGUGGGCCUUAUUGGAGGCUACAGGUGAGCUUUGAGAAGCUGGGAGAAGAAAAGACCUCUCGGUUGCUAUGUGGCAGUCGCUGGGUUGUGGAGAAGGGACGCUGGUCUACAGGAUGCUGGGCUCAUUGCAGAAGCCCCAAACUUGAAGAAUGUCAGAUGCACCAGAGUCGACUACAGUCCCCUCCUCACGGGAGCCCCGAAGGAGGAGUUCCAGGUUUAGCUUUGCCAUGUAAAUAGUUCAGAAGUCAUCACUUCCAUCCUGCCAACACGAAAAAGGCUGAACAAACUGAAAAUCAAUGACUUUCCUUGCACCGUCUGAGAAUUAAGGAGGCAGGACAAACUGCCUCCCUGCAAUCUGGAAAGACAGAUGGAUGUGCAGAAUCACAGCUGAGGCCCGAUCACCUGGGCGGAAGCCACUGCAGCCUCACACGAGCGGGAACGCACACACGCUCGUUUUGAUGACUUGUGAAGGCCAAGCGUGGAUUGGCUGGAGAGAGAGAAACUCCUGGGGACUACAGGUUAAGGGGGACUCCACACUUGUGUGGGAUCUACCUCCAGGAACCCCACCAGGUUCCUGUAGUGAAGAGCACAGGAAGCCUUUCUAAUGUCUGGGCAGGAGGAGGGCCACAGAGCCUUUCUGAAACCUGCCCAGUGUUCUCCAUAACAGAUGCCUACUUAGCAGUCAGGAAGGAAAGCACCGAAGCCUGUGCACUUGGGGGCAGGGUGCGGGCUCACUCCAGCUCCCCCUGGGUUCUUGUCUCACUGAAGAGGGGAAGAAAGGUAGGAAACGCUUGUAGAGGACAAGCCAAAGACACAGACCCACUAAGGAAGUGAAACUUAAUCAUAGGAUUAUCAAAAGCUUCACCUCCCCGCAAUUCACUGCUCCGCUGAUGGGGCUUCCAGACAUUGGUAGAGGAUUACAGCAGAAAAGAUGCAAGCUACACCCUCUCACUCUGGAGGUGAAGCCCAGGCAACUGGUAGUGAGAGGACAGACCAAAGCAAAGAAUGUUCCCGGAGCCUGCAGCCCCAGCACUCACUGAACAUAUCUACUAGCCAGAUUAGCACAAAACCUCAUGCUAAAGACCGACUUACUCCAGUCCCUAUUAACAGGAAAGGAGUUGGCUCACACAACUCCAAAGCCUGGGAAGUCCUGGCAUCGGCCGUCUGAGGCUAGACGCCCAGCAAAGCUGGUGCUGUGGCUCCAAGACCUGGGAACCAGGAGCCCCAAUGUCCAAGGGGAGGAGAAGGUGGACGCCCCGGCUCACACAGGCAGACAGAGCAAACACAACCUUCCCCCACUGCUGCGUUCUCAUCAGGCUGACAGUGGCUUAGUUGAUGCCCACUGUGAUGGUUAAUUUUAUAUCAACUUGACUGGGCUAAGAGAUGCCCAGGCAGCUGGUAAAAUGUGAUUUCUGGGUGUGUCUGGGACGGUGUUUCUGGAAGACAUUGGCACUUGAAUCAGUGAACGGAGUCAAGCAGAUGGCCUCCCCAGUCUGGUUGGACCUCAUCCAAUCCAUUGAGGGCUUGAGUAGAAUGGAAAGGUGGAGGGAGGGAGUUUGCCCUUUCUCUGCGUAAGCUGGGCCUUUCAUCUCCUGCCCUGGGACUUCAGUGUCGCUGGGUCUCAGGCCUCUGGGCUUGGAGUGAAAUGACACCUCCAGUUUUCCUGGGCCUCCAGCUUGCACACAGCAGAUUGUGGGAUAUGUCAGCCCUCAUAAUGGUGUGAGCAAAUCUCUCAUAAUAAAUCUCUUUCUAUGUAUCUAUAAAUAG